CCUACGGGGCGCUGCAGUGAGGAAUAUUGGUCAAUGGACGAGAGUCUGAACCAGCCAAGUAGCGUGAAGGAUGACUGCCCUCUGGGUUGUAAACUUCUUUUAUCAAGGAAUAAAACGAGGCACGUGUGCCUUUUUGCAUUUACUUUAUGAAUAAGGAUAGGCUAACUCCGUGCCAGAAGCCGCGGUAAUACGGUGGAUCCGAGCGUUGUCCGGAUUUAUUGGGUUUAAAGGGAGCGUAGAUGGGUUGUUAAGUCAGUUGUGAAAGUUUGCGGCUCAACCGGACAAUUGCAAUUGAUACUGGCAGGCUUGAGUACAGUAGAGGGAGGCAGAAUUCGUGGUGUAGCGGUGAAAUGCGUAGAUAUGUCGAAGAACCCCGAUGGCGAAGGCAGCUUACUGAACAGAGACUGACAUUGAGGCGCGAAAGUGUGGGUAUCAAACAGGAUUAGAUACCCGUGUAGUC
Molecule: ribosomal RNA, 460 nt
Filed under: uncultured bacterium
Lineage: Bacteria
Description: partial 16S ribosomal RNA
Rfam family: Bacterial small subunit ribosomal RNA
Source: RNAcentral